This 253-nucleotide ribosomal RNA is filed under the name uncultured bacterium. Its description in RNAcentral is "partial 16S ribosomal RNA". It matches the Rfam family "Bacterial small subunit ribosomal RNA", at positions 524 to 776 of the family's 1533-position model. The record is from RNAcentral.
GACGAACCGAGCGAACGUUGUUCGGAAUCACUGGGCUUAAAGGGCGCGUAGGCGGGCAUUCAAGUCCGUGGUGAAAUCCGGCAGCUUAACUGUCGAAUUGCCAUGGAUACUGGGUGUCUCGAGGGAGGCAGGGGUGCGCGGAACUAAUGGUGGAGCGGUGAAAUGCGUUGAUAUCAUUAGGAACUCCGGUGGCGAAGGCGGCGCACUGGUCCUUUUCUGACGCUGAGGCGCGAAAGCCAGGGGAGCAAACGGG